RNAcentral lists this ribosomal RNA (496 nucleotides) under uncultured bacterium. RNAcentral describes it as "partial 16S ribosomal RNA". It matches the Rfam family "Bacterial small subunit ribosomal RNA", at positions 28 to 507 of the family's 1533-position model. The record is from RNAcentral.
GAUGAACGCUGGCGGCGUGCCUAAUACAUGCAAGUCGAGCGAACGGACGAGAAGCUUGCUUCUCUGAUGUUAGCGGCGGACGGGUGAGUAACACGUGGAUAACCUACCUAUAAGACUGGGAUAACUUCGGGAAACCGGAGCUAAUACCGGAUAAUAUUUUGAACCGCAUGGUUCAAAGUGAAAGACGGUCUUGCUGUCACUUAUAGAUGGAUCCGCGCUGCAUUAGCUAGUUGGUAAGGUAACGGCUUACCAAGGCAACGAUGCAUAGCCGACCUGAGAGGGUGAUCGGCCACACUGGAACUGAGACACGGUCCAGACUCCUACGGGAGGCAGCAGUAGGGAAUCUUCCGCAAUGGGCGAAAGCCUGACGGAGCAACGCCGCGUGAGUGAUGAAGGUCUUCGGAUCGUAAAACUCUGUUAUUAGGGAAGAACAUAUGUGUAAGUAACUGUGCACAUCUUGACGGUACCUAAUCAGAAAGCCACGGCUAACUACGUG